GCGCCCGUAGCUCAGUGGAUAGAGCAUCUGACUUCGGAUCAGAAAGUCGGGGGUUCAAAUCCCUCCGGGCGUGCCA
Molecule: transfer RNA, 76 nt
Filed under: Bacillota bacterium
Lineage: Bacteria; Bacillati; Bacillota
Description: Firmicutes bacterium (anaerobic digester metagenome) tRNA-Arg
Rfam family: tRNA
About the family: Transfer RNA (tRNA) molecules are approximately 80 nucleotides in length.
Source: RNAcentral